CAGUCGCCGCGGGAAUACGAAGGGGGCUAGCGUUGCUCGGAAUGACUGGGCGUAAAGGGCGCGCAGGCGGAUUGUUUAGUUAGGCGUGAAAUUCCUGGGCUUAACCUGGGGACUGCGCUUAAUACAGGCAGUCUAGAGUGAGGAAGAGGGUUGUGGAAUUCCCAGUGUAGAGGUGAAAUUCGUAGAUAUUGGGAAGAACACCGGUGGCGAAGGCGGCAACCUGGUCCUUGACUGACGCUGAGGCGCGAAAGCGUGGGGAGCAAACAGGAUUAGAUACCCCCGUAGUCCCUGUCUCUUAUAC
RNAcentral lists this ribosomal RNA (301 nucleotides) under uncultured bacterium. RNAcentral's name for it is "partial 16S ribosomal RNA". It matches the Rfam family "Bacterial small subunit ribosomal RNA", at positions 509 to 807 of the family's 1533-position model. The record is from RNAcentral.